UUUUUCAGCUUUUGUUGAACCCCAUUUUUCAGAUGCAGUUCUCCAUCAAAAUUUUAUCUCAAAAAUGAGGUUAUCGGAGUAAAAAGGGAUUUUUCAGGGUGGUUGACCAUCUCCGUCUGUUACUGCUUUUACAGGAAAAGCAGCUGCAAAAGCAUAGAAAAAUGGAGGUUCAGCCCAGUAUGAAGAAUGAGGCCAACAGAGAAAAAGGGAAUUCUUUGAGGGUGCCUCUGCUUGGCCUAUGAUUUCCCCAUAAACAAAAUUAACAACCCUCUUUAGAAGUACUAGUACCGUUUAUUGUUUUCUCUAAAUUCUUUGAGGGUAGUUGCCCUCUCUAAUUGACCUAUGAUUUCUCUGACCAACCAAACCAACAAUCCUCCGUUGGUAUAUGUUUCUAUUGAUGAUUUGUUGAUAGCAGCAGUAGUAAUACUCCCUCUCUUCUAAUUCACUUGUCUUGAACCUGUUCACUAGUGAUAUGGAAAAGAAUCCAUCUUUCGAAGGAGGCAGUGAUAAUAUUGCCAAUUCUGGGCAAGGAGAAAAUUCGACUCGUAUCUUGGUGGGGCAAACCCAGAUUAUGUAACUGGUUGAUUUUGCAGCCACGGUGUUGUCAUCUUCUCUUUGCCCCAUUUUACACUGAUCUGAGCCUCAACAUCCAAUGAGUUCCAGGAUCCAAACCCCGAAAUUCAUUUGAUGGAAACCUUGUUCAUUUUAGCUCUAAAGGACAAACCAAUCGGAGCAAAAUGGGCAUUUUACAGGGUGGUCGACCAUCUCUGGUAUGUCAAUGAUUUCUUUGCUCUAAUCAACAAUUCUUUUAGCUUUUGUAUGUGGAUGAAGUGCACAAAUAGCCGCUUUUAGACCAUUUCCAAUGUCAUUGGAUGUUGUAAUUUCCUGUAUUUUAGGACCCUGUUUAGAGAAUAGCUGAAGUUUACAAAGUUGCAGGGACUUACAGUUUACAGAGUAAUGGAAGCUUAGCCCAGUAUGAAGAAUGAGGCCAACAGGGAAAGGGAAAUUUUUUUGGAGGGUGGUUGUCCUCUCUGGUUGACCUAUGAUUUCUUGUUCAACCAAAUCAACAACCCUCAUUGGUAUAUUUGUGAAACUUCCCAAAAAUAAAUAAAUAAAUCUGUUGCCAUUGAUGUAAUGUUGCUAGCAGUAGUAGUAAUGUCAUACUCUCUCCAUUUCAAUCUACUAGUCUGGAAAACUGUCCACAAAUUGGUAUAGAAAAGGUUCCAUCUUUCUCAAAGAGGCAGUGAUGAUAUUGCUAAUUCCGCGCUGAAAAUCGGGGCAUGGAGAAAACCCGACUCGUAUCUUGGCAGGGCAAACCCAAAUCACGUAACCCGUUCAUUUUGCAUCCAUGGCGUUGUCGUCUUCUCUUUACCCCUUUUUUGCACAAAUCUGAACCUCAACUUCCAAUGAGUCACUUCGAGUACGCCGGGAUCGAAACCCAGAAUCUCAUUUGAUGGAAACCCUGGUCCCUGUUCAUUUUAGCUCGAAAACAUGAGGCAGUCAGAGAAAAAAUGUGGAUUUUUUCAGGGUGUUAGACCAUCUCUGGUACGUCAAUGAUUUUUUCUUUGCUCUAAUAAACAACCCUUUUAGCUUUGUUUGUGGACGAAGUGCAGAAAUUGCUGUUUUAGACCAGUUCCAAGUUCAUUGGGUGUAAUUUCCUGGAUUUACACUGUAAUGGAAGCUCAGCCCAGUGUGAAGAAUGAGACCAACAGUGAGAAAAAGGGAAUUUCUUUGGAGGGUGGUUGCCCCCUCUGAUUGGUCUAUGAUUUCUCCUUUAACCAAACAAACAACCCUCUGGAAAAGUAGAAACAACCAACAAUAUUUGUUGUCAUUGCCUUCAAUGGUGGUAAUAUGAUGCUGAUGUAAGUAAUAACAUUCAAUUUUCUGAUCAUUCCGAGAUAGCUUAGACCAAAUGCUUUUGGUAUGAAAUACUCAGAGAUCUGAAGGUCUCAUUUGUUUCAUUAAUAUUUCUUGUUAAAGUUAUUCAAACGGGCUCUUAUGGAAAAGUUUCCAUAUUUUCUGAAAGAGGCAGUGAUGAUAUUGCUUAUCUGGGCUGCUGUUUGGGGCAUGGAGACUAUUUGACCCGUAUCUUGGCAUGGCAAACCUGGAUGGCUUGUGAUCGAGUCUUCUCUUUCACAUGCAACUGGUUCUUUUGCAGCCAUGGCGUUGUCGCCUUCUCUUUGCCCCAUUUUUUGCUAGUCUGAGCCUCAAUUUCCAACUAGUCCAACUGGACGUCCCAGGACUCGAAGAGUUUGGAACCUAAAUGAUGAAAAAAUCUCUGCAUGCACGCACACACAUAUCAUGAGAAAAUGUCCAAAAUAGUCCCUUAUUGAGGCAGUGAUGAUCUUUCAGUCUAUCCUCUUGAGCUAGUAAUUGAGCAUUGAGGGUACCCGAUGGCAACCUGGCGUGGCAAUUACCCGGAUGCCUGUGAUUUUGUUGCAUGCAACUUGGGGAUAUUUGCAGCCAUGACAUGGCAGGACUUUCUUUACCUGAUCAUGAAUAGAAGAACUGAGCCUCAAUUGUCACAUUCAUCUUACUCUGGAUGUUUUAGUAUGGAGGAAAAUAUUUUAGUGAAGCCGCCCUAAAGUGGCUAAAUGGUGUCAUUUCUACAACGAAGACCUUUGACAUGAGGACCAUAAUGAGGCUGUGAUGAUUUUUUGUCUUUACUCAUCAGAUGGUUGAGCCUUGCUAUAUCUUGGCAUGGCAGUUUUGUUGGGGUAUUGUGAGAUAGUGGAGCUAUUUUUGUUUCUGUGUCUCACAAAGCAUCCUUAAGCUUGCAGCCAUAGUGGGGUUUAGCUUAUGUAUGAGAAAAGGCGAAUCUGAGCCUC
This is a long non-coding RNA of Solanum stenotomum, 2828 nucleotides long. RefSeq lists it as uncharacterized. The transcript has 2 exons. NCBI's taxonomy places the organism in Eukaryota, Viridiplantae, Streptophyta, Magnoliopsida, Solanales, Solanaceae. The record is from RefSeq and is a predicted model, not a curated record.